RNAcentral lists this ribosomal RNA (467 nucleotides) under uncultured bacterium. RNAcentral describes it as "partial 16S ribosomal RNA". It matches the Rfam family "Bacterial small subunit ribosomal RNA", at positions 28 to 506 of the family's 1533-position model. The record is from RNAcentral.
GACGAACGCUGGCGGCGUGCUUAACACAUGCAAGUCGAACGGAAAGGCCCUGCUUUUGUGGGGUGCUCGAGUGGCGAACGGGUGAGUAACACGUGAGUAACCUGCCCUUGACUUUGGGAUAACUUCAGGAAACUGGGGCUAAUACCGGAUAGGAGCUCCUGCUGCAUGGUGGGGGUUGGAAAGUUUCGGCGGUUGGGGAUGGACUCGCGGCUUAUCAGCUUGUUGGUGGGGUAGUGGCUUACCAAGGCUUUGACGGGUAGCCGGCCUGAGAGGGUGACCGGCCACAUUGGGACUGAGAUACGGCCCAGACGCCUACGGGAGGCAGCAGUGGGGAAUAUUGCACAAUGGGCGGAAGCAUGAUGCAGCAACGCCGCGUGCGGGAUGACGGCCUUCGGGUUGUAAACCGCUUUCGCCUGUGACGAAGCGUGAGUGACGGUAAUGGGUAAAGAAGCACCGGCUAACUACGU